Molecule: long non-coding RNA, 1208 nt
Filed under: Neodiprion pinetum (white pine sawfly)
Lineage: Eukaryota; Metazoa; Arthropoda; Insecta; Hymenoptera; Diprionidae
Description: uncharacterized LOC124212576
Source: RNAcentral
UGUUCGAAUUGAUGAGGUUAUAAAUCACGGUAUUUCUUCUAUUUUCCGUCUGGCUGUAUAUUACCUGACAGGAAUAUAUGGCCGAGCAGGGGGUCGAGGAGGACGAAGGUCGGAGGUGGUUGGUGGUGUUCGAAAUUGGUAGGAGGCCGUAGGAGGUAGUCGGCGCUGGUAGCAGGUGGUUGGAGGUGGUAGGAGGUGAUCGGAGAUGGCCGAGGAGGACGAGGACGACGAGGCGGCGGAGGAGGAGGGGGAAGAGGUGGUCGGAGGUGGUUGACGAUGGUUGGUAGUGCUCGGUGGUAGUUGGGGGUGGUCGGCGGUGGACGCGGUUACGCGUCUUCUCGCGGGAAUGAUCGAGCUGAUCGAGAUUUCUAAGUCGCAGUCAACAAGUAGUCUUACGUAUUCACUUUGUACCGACUAAAAUAUAAGCUUCCAUACCGACACUACUUUGCCUGUUACGAACGUCGGUUCGAGUCCCUUAGAUAGAAUCGAUAGAGCAAAACCCUCCUACGCUCCCAGGCUCACCCGGGCCCACUUGCCCGCCGAAAACUGGUCACAAAAAUCUACUCAGAGGUAUCCGUCUUUUGGGAAAUCAUCCACUCAGAUACGCUACCUGACGGAUCAAAUAUAAACUACUCUAUGCAGGUCAAGCUUAAACUGCUGAUAUCAAAUAUAAUAUGUGAGAAAUGUAGUUUAAAAGUGUUAAACUUUUUUUUAAAUAUUAAGUAAUCAAUUAUUAUCUAUAAGCUUAGUUAUUACUUAAAAACAUCUUAAAUUUCAAUAUUUGAUCAAAAAAUUUAAUCAUGGAGUUUCCACCACGAGAAAAUAAAAAUAAAACUUUCUGCUGCGUGUAUGGGUGUAAUAGCAAGUCUAGUAAGAACAAUACAGUUCGAUUUUACACUUUUCCUUCGGCAAAUUCUAGUUUUGUAGUAAUCAAAAAUAAAUUUGGUGAAGAUGAAGUAAUUGAUCGUCGAUUAGCUUGGAUAAAAGCAUUGAAAAUUGGGAAUGAGGUUACACAGUCAAAAAAAGUGUUUUCAUUACAUUUCACCAAAAAUGACUUCAUACCAACAUCCAAUGUUGCGAUAUUGCACCCACAACUUCAUGCGGUGGAUCUUUUAAACGAGAAGUUUGGAGACAGAAUGCAAUUAUUUUAUACUCAUUAUCACAACUAGUAUCUGAUUGCUGUAGGCCACAUUUCAUUAGAUGUCCCG